This is a non-coding RNA of Epithele typhae, 98 nucleotides long. Lineage: Eukaryota; Fungi; Basidiomycota; Agaricomycetes; Polyporales; Epitheliaceae. The record is from the annotation of a RefSeq genome assembly.
GCCCGCCUAGCUCAAUCGGAUAGAGCGUCAGACUCUUACGAUCGUUUGACACGGCGGAGUGCAUCUGAAGGCUGCGAGUUCGACCCUCGCGGUGGGCU